This 301-nucleotide ribosomal RNA is filed under the name uncultured bacterium. RNAcentral describes it as "partial 16S ribosomal RNA". It matches the Rfam family "Bacterial small subunit ribosomal RNA", at positions 509 to 807 of the family's 1533-position model. The record is from RNAcentral.
CAGUCGCCGCGGUAAUACGUAGGGUGCGAGCGUUAAUCGGAAUUACUGGGCGUAAAGCGUGCGCAGGCGGUUGUGUAAGACAGGUGUGAAAUCCCCGGGCUUAACCUGGGAACUGCGCUUGUGACUGCACAGCUAGAGUAUGGCAGAGGGGGGUGGAAUUCCACGUGUAGCAGUGAAAUGCGUAGAGAUGUGGAGGAACACCGAUGGCGAAGGCAGCCCCCUGGGCCAAUACUGACGCUCAUGCACUAAAGUGUGGGGAGCAAACAGGAUUAGAUACCCCCGUAGUCCCUGUCUCUUAUAC